AUUUACGUCUGAAAGAGAACGCGCAUCAAGUCCAACUAUGGUGCAUGAACCUACGUGACAAUGCAGCUUCUGGCGUCCAGUGGCCUACAGAGUGCACGUUGACAGUUAACAAUUGCAGUUUGCCGAUAAGUCCAACAGGAUCUGCAAGCAGUCAUGGUGAUUGUAUUUCAAAUAGCAAAAUGAAAGGUGAUAACACUGUUAUCUUGAUGGGAAAUCUGCAAAGGAUCAUGACUACUUUUUUGGAGUGAGCUUGGUCAAAGUACAAUCACUCGAACAGGUCUUGGAAAAAAUUGUUGUCGAACCUUUGGAAGUGGCUGUAAACCAUAGUGUUCCGGUACCUGGUGUGGAAAUGCUAACAGCUAAAGUCAGCUUAACCUGUCCAUUUAAUCAUUCCAGAAUUACACACCCAGCGAGGUUCAAACAGUGCGGACACUUGCUUGACUUAAUAAAGUUUCUGCAAUACGCGCAAGCAUCUAAGAAGCUAGUGAAGUGGGAAUGCCCAGUUUGCAGAAAGAGAUACUCAUUUACAGAUCUGAUAUCUGAUGGCUAUUUAAUGCCAAUUCUUGCUGCAUUACCCGAAGAAGUGAAUGAAAUCGAAGUCCAACACGAUGCUUCUUGGAGGUUAAUCGGAAGGACUACUUGGAAUAAGCCUGGGCCUCCUUAUGUUAUUGACCAGUAGGAGGUGGGAGGAGAAGAUGGAGUGGUGCAUAUCCCUUCUGAUGAAGAGACUCAAGGUGUUGCAUCUGCUUCCGUGGCACCUGCUUACACGGCAUCUACUUCAGAAACUAAAGAUGUUAAUCCACUUGAUGAUAGCUUGAAGGUUUUGGAAAGUCAAUAUGUUGCAUCUACCGGAGGAGGUGGAGUGGUGCAUGUCUCGUCUGCUGAAGAGAUUCGAGAUGUUGCAGCUGCUUCUGUGGCAUCGGCUUCCGUGGGAUCUACGUCUGAAACUAGAGAUGUAAGACCACCUGAUGAUUCCUUGAAGCUGCUGGGAAGACAGUAUGGAGGAGAUUCGGAUUCUGACUGAGAAACGGAGCUUGCACAGCACUAUGGGUACCAGAAGGCAAUUUCAGAGAAAUGACCUUCCACUGUGAUGCAUCUAUGUAGAAAGUUUAUAUUUUAGCAGCUGAACACUAAGGAUAUCUCUCUCUUUCAUACUCCUCGUUUUCACUAAUCACAUGUAUAUGUUCCUUUUCUUCUGUGAUUGAACGGGUUAUUAGUAGUAACCCAUCUUCUUCUGUGACUGAACGGGUUAUUAGUAGUAACCCAUAUAUGUUUUUUUCGAAUUAUAUAUAGCCUUAUAUGCCAA
Long non-coding RNA from Papaver somniferum (opium poppy), 1306 nucleotides. RefSeq lists it as uncharacterized. The transcript has 7 exons. The record is from RefSeq and is a predicted model, not a curated record. Lineage: Eukaryota; Viridiplantae; Streptophyta; Magnoliopsida; Ranunculales; Papaveraceae.